AUUGAACGCUGGCGGCAGGCCUAACACAUGCAAGUCGAGCGGAUGAAGGGAGCUUGCUCCUGGAUUCAGCGGCGGACGGGUGAGUAAUGCCUAGGAAUCUGCCUGGUAGUGGGGGAUAACGUCCGGAAACGGGCGCUAAUACCGCAUACGUCCUGAGGGAGAAAGUGGGGGAUCUUCGGACCUCACGCUAUCAGAUGAGCCUAGGUCGGAUUAGCUAGUUGGUGGGGUAAAGGCCUACCAAGGCGACGAUCCGUAACUGGUCUGAGAGGAUGAUCAGUCACACUGGAAGUGAGACACGGUACAGACUCCUACGGGAGGAAGCAGUGGGGAAUAUUGGACGAUGGGCGAAAGCCUGAUCCAGCCAUGCCGCGUGUGUGAAGAAGGUCUUCGGAUGGUAAAGCACUUUAAGUUGGGAGGAAGGGCAGUAAGUUAAUACCUUGCUGUUUUGACGUUACCAACAGAAUAAGCACCGGCUAACUUCGUG
RNAcentral lists this ribosomal RNA (484 nucleotides) under uncultured bacterium. RNAcentral's name for it is "partial 16S ribosomal RNA". It matches the Rfam family "Bacterial small subunit ribosomal RNA", at positions 30 to 507 of the family's 1533-position model. The record is from RNAcentral.